Molecule: ribosomal RNA, 258 nt
Filed under: uncultured bacterium
Lineage: Bacteria
Description: partial 16S ribosomal RNA
Rfam family: Bacterial small subunit ribosomal RNA
Source: RNAcentral
UACGUAGGGGGCAAGCGUUAUCCGGAAUUACUGGGCGUAAAGCGCACGCAGGCGGUUCGCCAAGUUUGGAGUGACAGUUGUCGGCUCAACCCGGACAAAGGACUUCAAAAACUGGUGAACUUGAGGACGAGAGAGGAACGAUGGAACUCCAGGUGUAGUAGGUGAAAUGCGUAGAUAUCUGGAAGAACACCAAUGGCGAAGGCAAUGGUUCUGGCUCGUUUCUGACGCUCAGGUGCGAAAGCCAGGGGAGCGAACGGG